UCAUUGAUGUAGGAAAUUCUCUGUUGUAUCUUGUCGCAAUUGCCGAUAAAAGAAACUGUGCGGACUAGCAUACUGUCGGAACAGUGGAGAUAUCUUUGGCGUUGCCACUCGAAUCUAGCAUUCAGUCUUAGAUCAAUGUUGCCAGCAGUUCCUCGCAAGCAGUUAUUCUGGUAGUGACAGUGGUUCAGGGGUGACAGGAUUCAGUUUCAUGCUCCAUUUGAUAAUAAGCAUAGGGAUCAGAUAGAAAGAUGGGUGGACUUUGCUACUGCAUCGAAGGCGAAGCAGAUUAUUUUUGAUUUCUCGACCGCCAGCGACAUAAGACCGCCAUGUAACUUCGAUUUGCGUCUUCUUGAUGAUAGUAAAAGUUUAGGCUUGCGGUCUAUAAAACUCUGCUCUGUUUCUCUAAAGGUGCCCGUGGGGUUCAAGGGUUUUCAGAACCUUAAAUGGAUUUACCUAGCAGACACAAAUAUUACUGAUGGUGGUCUUCAACAUUUGAUGUCCAACUGCAGUGUUCUAGAGUUCCUUGGAAUUGCAGGUUGUGUGAUGCUUACCACGUUGCAAACAUCUCAUCCUUCAAACACACUUAAGCAUUUACAUGUAUAUGACUGCUGUUUGCUUCAAGGGAUGGAGUUAAACUUUGGUCUGGUAAGACUUGAGUUCAGAGGUCCGCCGAUUGUGUUAUCGCCUCCUGGAACCUUGCUUCUAACAAAUAUGUGCAUAAAGUUGGAGGGUAUUUGUACUUCUCUAGAAUACUUCUUCACCAAACUUCGUGAUAAUGUGCCUCGUCUCGAGAUUCUGAAUCUAAAAUGCCAGGAGUACAAGAUGACUACAUUGCCAGGAAAGCUGCAUGAGUUUGUUUAUUUGAAGCACCUGAUAUUGGAGUUAACUUUUGAGAGCUGACAGAGAAGGAAGACUGAUAUCCUUCAACUUGCCUGCCUUCUGGUUGCUGCUCCUUGCUUAGAAAAGCUGGAAUUUCACAUGUGGCUGCGCUGGGGUCGGGAACGGUAUAGAGCCAAGGACGGGAGUCUCCGGAGCCUUCCUUCCCAGCCGCACUCCCAUCUCAGGUCGGUCGAUAUCACGGGGUUUUACGGCGAGAAGGACCAGCUGGAGCUUGCGCUCCACAUCCUCAGAGACUCCGUUGUGCUGGAGUCGAUGAAGGUAGAUCCAUGCCCUGUGGUUGCCGCUGAUGUUAACCGACUGGGGGGACUGGGGAGCAUGCAUGUUCCUCAUUUUGUGGAUGGCUAUGAAGUCGCCCUUGAGUUCCUCUGCAGCAGAGACCGCCGCAAUGUUGUCCAUGUCGUGGAGCCUCUCGCCGGUCUGGGGGUGCUUAGGCUCGGCGCGAGCGCCGAUAUCAGUGAGAGGGUCCGACGUGGGUCUUCCCCCCUGAGUCUGCGCAGCAGUAGCGCAAAGGCAUCCUGGCAACGUGUGAAGAGGGUGAAGCGAUUGUCGCGGCCUUCCUCCAGCCGAGGAGCUUCCUGA
RNAcentral lists this ribosomal RNA (1479 nucleotides) under Triticum aestivum (bread wheat). RNAcentral describes it as "partial small subunit ribosomal RNA". The record is from RNAcentral. Lineage: Eukaryota; Viridiplantae; Streptophyta; Magnoliopsida; Poales; Poaceae.